RNAcentral lists this unclassified non-coding RNA (413 nucleotides) under fungal sp. RNAcentral's name for it is "partial internal transcribed spacer region". The stretch from base 1 to 46 matches the Rfam family "Eukaryotic small subunit ribosomal RNA", at positions 1786 to 1831 of the family's 1831-position model. Lineage: Eukaryota; Fungi. The record is from RNAcentral.
AAGUCGUAACAAGGUUUCCGUAGGUGAACCUGCGGAAGGAUCAUUAACACGUAUCCAAACGUUAAAGCCCCCUGUGAACCUUCAGUCGUACUCGUACGUCCGUUAGAAAAAGCAGCAAUCCCUGAGUCGAUUAGGGACGUCUGCAAGGAGCGUGCAUGUUGUGCGUGUAAGUGGCCUGGCAUCCCCAAGCAGUUAGUGUCUGAAAGUGUCACUAACGUUAGUGUCUGAAAGUGUCACUAACAUGUGUAAGGAUGACGCAGUCACGAUCGUUGGAGGCCCACACGGCCGACGACCGGGUCACCGGGUGCAAGCCCCCUUAUCACACCCCUGCUCUAUCUAUGGUGAUCCUGCGGGAAGUCCUGCGGUCGAACGCCGAAACCGAACAACUGUUAACAAUGGAUAUCUUGGUUCUC